This 259-nucleotide unclassified non-coding RNA is filed under the name Ambisporaceae sp. RNAcentral describes it as "partial contains 5.8S ribosomal RNA and internal transcribed spacer 2". The stretch from base 1 to 71 matches the Rfam family "5.8S ribosomal RNA", at positions 84 to 154 of the family's 154-position model. Lineage: Eukaryota; Fungi; Glomeromycota; Glomeromycetes; Archaeosporales; Ambisporaceae. The record is from RNAcentral.
GUGAAUCAUCGAAUCUUUGAACGCAUAUUGCACCCUCUGGUAUUCCGGAGAGUAUGCCUGUUUGAGGGUCAUUUAAAAGUAUAUUUUACCCAUUUUUUUUGGUUAAUGGAAAUGUGUUUUCCGGGUUUAUAGCGUUAGCUUGAAAUAAAUGGUAGUCUCAUUUUAGUCGAGACGCGUAAUAAUUUUAUUUCGCGAUAUCUUUAUUAUGUGACUAUCCCGUUUUGAUGCAUACAAAUUUUGUUUUUAUGCGUUUAAUAAA